UCACCCCUCAAGCUCCGGCUUGGUGUUGGACGGUUUGGUUUUGGCGACAAGACCCCUCCUAAAGUUAAUGACGGCGGCCUGUGCGACCCCCAGUACACUGAGCUUCUUAACUGAGCACGUACUGGCUUCAGGGUCAACAGGACCCGGUCUUCUUCCUUCAUGGGAAACAAUUUUUCAUAAAAA
RNAcentral lists this unclassified non-coding RNA (183 nucleotides) under uncultured Herpotrichiellaceae. Its description in RNAcentral is "sequence contains ITS2". The record is from RNAcentral. Lineage: Eukaryota; Fungi; Ascomycota; Eurotiomycetes; Chaetothyriales; Herpotrichiellaceae.